CUCAGGAUGAACGCUAGCUACAGGCUUAACACAUGCAAGUCGAGGGGAAACGACAUCGAAAGCUUGCUUUUGAUGGGCGUCGACCGGCGCACGGGUGAGUAACGCGUAUCCAACCUGCCCACCACUUGGGGAUAACCUUGCGAAAGUAAGACUAAUACCCAAUGACGUCUCUAGAAGACAUCUGAAAGAGAUUAAAGAUUUAUCGGUGAUGGAUGGGGAUGCGUCUGAUUAGCUUGUUGGCGGGGUAACGGCCCACCAAGGCGACGAUCAGUAGGGGUUCUGAGAGGAAGGUCCCCCACAUUGGAACUGAGACACGGUCCAAACUCCUACGGGAGGCAGCAGUGAGGAAUAUUGGUCAAUGGACGAGAGUCUGAACCGGCCAAGUAGCGUGCAGGAUGACGGCCCUAUGGGUUGUAAACUGCUUUUAUAAGGGAAUAAAGUGAGUCUCGUGAGACUUUUUGCAUGUACCUUAUGAAUAAGGACCGGCUAAUUCCGUGCCAGCAGCCGCGGUAAUACGGAAGGUCCGGGCGUUAUCCGGAUUUAUUGGGUUUAAAGGGAGCGUAGGCCGGAGAUUAAGCGUGUUGUGAAAUGUAGACGCUCAACGUCUGCACUGCAGCGCGAACUGGUUUCCUUGAGUACGCACAAAGUGGGCGGAAUUCGUGGUGUAGCGGUGAAAUGCUUAGAUAUCACGAAGAACUCCGAUUGCGAAGGCAGCUCACUGGAGCGCAACUGACGCUGAAGCUCGAAAGUGCGGGUAUCGAACAGGAUUAGAUACCCUGGUAGUCCGCACGGUAAACGAUGGAUGCCCGCUGUUGGUCUGAAUAGGUCAGCGGCCAAGCGAAAGCAUUAAGCAUCCCACCUGGGGAGUACGCCGGCAACGGUGAAACUCAA
This 891-nucleotide ribosomal RNA is filed under the name uncultured bacterium. Its description in RNAcentral is "bacterial SSU rRNA". It matches the Rfam family "Bacterial small subunit ribosomal RNA", at positions 23 to 904 of the family's 1533-position model. The record is from RNAcentral.